GAUGAACGCUGGCGGCGUGCUUAACACAUGCAAGUCGAACGAAGCAGCCAUGCUUGCUGGUUCCUCGGGUGGCGAACGGGAGUGUAACACGUGGGUGAUAUGACCUGCACUUUGGGCUGCGCCUCGCAAACUGGGACCAGUUACGGAUAGGUGCUAUUUUUAGUUUGAUGGUUAGAAAGUCAUUAUGGUGUCGGAUGAGCUCGCGGCCUGUCAGCUUGUUGGUGGGGUAAUGGCCUACUAAGGCGGGGACGGGUAGCCGGCCUGGGAGGGUGGACGGCAACAUUGAGACUGAGAUACGGCCCAGACGCCUACGGGAGGCAGCAGUGGGGAAUAUUGCACAAUGGGCGCAAGCCUGAUGCAGCGACGCCGCGUGGGGGAUGACGGCCUUCGGGUUGUAAACUCCUUUCGCUAGGGACGAAGCUUUUUGUGACGGUACCUAGAUAAGAAGCACCGGCUAACUACGUG
RNAcentral lists this ribosomal RNA (465 nucleotides) under uncultured bacterium. Its description in RNAcentral is "partial 16S ribosomal RNA". It matches the Rfam family "Bacterial small subunit ribosomal RNA", at positions 28 to 507 of the family's 1533-position model. The record is from RNAcentral.